Molecule: ribosomal RNA, 403 nt
Filed under: uncultured bacterium
Lineage: Bacteria
Description: partial 16S ribosomal RNA
Rfam family: Bacterial small subunit ribosomal RNA
Source: RNAcentral
GACGAACGCUGGCGGCGUGCCUAAUACAUGCAAGUCGAACGCAGUGGGGACGGGUGAGUAACACGUGGGUAACCUCCCAUCAGAGGGGAUAACACUUGGAAACAGGUGCUAAACCGAUAUUGACGGAUGGACCCGCGGUGCAUAAGCUAGUUGGUGAGGUAACGGCUCACCAAGGGCACGAUGCAUAGCCGACCGUAGAGGGUGAUCGGCAAAACGGGGACUGAGACACGGCCCAGACUCCUACGGGAGGAAGCAGUGGGGAAUCUUCGGCAAUGGACGAAAGUCUGACCGGGCAACGCCGCGUGGGUGAAGAAGGUUUUCGGAUCGUAAAACUCUGUUGUUGGGGAAGCGGUAUCUAACCAGAAAGCCACGGCUAACUACGUGCCAGCAGCCGUGGUAAUUC